Molecule: non-coding RNA, 556 nt
Organism: Podarcis lilfordi (Lilford's wall lizard)
Lineage: Eukaryota; Metazoa; Chordata; Lepidosauria; Squamata; Lacertidae
Source: the annotation of a GenBank genome assembly
GAGCUGGAUUAUUGAGGUUAAAAGGACUGACAAUCCCGGGUCCAGGGAGGAGGCUGGAAGUUGACUGGAUUGAAUCUGACUUAUUGUUUUUGCUUUUUUAUUUUUAAUAUUGGGAAUGUUUAUAAAUGUUUGAAGGAUGUUGAAUGAAAUUAUAUGACUUAAGUAAGGAUUGGUAAAUGAUUUGAAAAAAGGUAAUGAUGUAAGAAUUUGCUAAAUAUUGAAUAUAAGCUUUGAGUUUUAAAGUUUUUAUAUGACAAGAGGGAAAAUAGAAUAAGGAAACGCAAUGAUAGAUUGUUAUGAAAAAACAGAAAGGAUUUGCUGUAAAAAUUAAAUACUAAGAAACAAGAGAGGGAAGGAGGAGGAAGUCUAGAAAGGAAGUUAAUGGAGAUCGUAAAGGAUUUUAUAUUUCUGUUUUUCUGUUUUUCUUUUUUUUCUUUUUUGCGGCUGGGUUUUUUCUUCUUUAUUAUUUCUGUAUUAUUUUUGUUUUAUUUGUAUUUUCAAACUUUUUUGGAAAUUUUUGUUGUUACUUGUUACUUUUUGAAAAUUUAAUAAAUAU